CCUACGGGAGGCAGCAGUGGGGAAUAUUGCACAAUGGGCGAAAGCCUGAUGCAGCAACGCCGCGUGAGCGAUGACGGCCUUCGGGUCGUAAAGCUCUGUUCUUAAGGAAGAUAAUGACGGUACUUGAGGAGGAAGCCCCGGCUAACUACGUGCCAGCAGCCGCGGUAAUACGGAGGGGGCUAGCGUUAUCCGGAAUUACUGGGCGUAAAGGGUGCGUAGGUGGUUUCUUAAGUCAGAGGUAAAAGGCUACGGCUCAACCGUAGUAAGCCGUUGAAACUGGUAAACUUGAGUGCAGGAGAGGUGAGUGGAAUUCCUGGUGUAGCGGUGAAAUGCGUAGAUAUUAGGAAGAACACCAGUUGCGAAGGCAGCUCUCUGGCCUGUAACUGACGCUGAGGCACGAAAGCGUGGGGAGCGAACAGGAUUAGAUACCCUUGUAGUC
Molecule: ribosomal RNA, 439 nt
Filed under: uncultured bacterium
Lineage: Bacteria
Description: partial 16S ribosomal RNA
Rfam family: Bacterial small subunit ribosomal RNA
Source: RNAcentral